RNAcentral lists this long non-coding RNA (1182 nucleotides) under Apteryx haastii (Great spotted kiwi). RNAcentral describes it as "lncRNA (ENSAHAG00000010798.1)". The record is from RNAcentral. Lineage: Eukaryota; Metazoa; Chordata; Aves; Apterygiformes; Apterygidae.
AUGCCGAUGUCUCCUCCCUCCGCCCAGCUCUGGACUGGCCGGGAAGGCUGGAUAAUGGCUGCAUCGGGAUGGGGAUGGGGGCUCCCAAUUCGAGGUGCAAGGGGGGCACAGUGCUCGCCCCCGCCGGUCCCCAAGGGGGUUGGCAGAGGUGCCCCGGGCAGUGGUGGCACCGGCAGGGGGACCCGGUGGCGGGAGCCGGUGCCACCCCACGGAGGACACCCCCACCCGGGGCUCUGCCCUUCCCCGCGUGCCGGGGGCAGGAAGGAGGCCGUGGUGAGGAGCCCGGCACAUCCCGGCGGCGCCUUGGCCCCGGCCCAGCAGCCUUGGCAGCGCUUGGCUCCCUGGCACGCUGCCGGCUGCCGGCCCCGUCCGUGGCGCCCCGGGGGGGGACGUGGUGGCAGGGAGGGGGGGGGCGCGGGGCCGUGCACCCACGCCGGGGCACGCGUGCACCUUUGGGUGCUUUCGCACCGGUGUCCGCGUUGUCUGCUGGAUCGCCCUCGCCUUUCCUCCACGCCGGGCAGCUCCAGCGCAGCCGGAGAGCGGAGGGGACGGGGAGCCAGCCGCCGCGGUGACACCCCGGACGUGCCAUCGGGGAGGGCGGUGGCACCCCCCCGCCGCCCCGCGGAGAGAGGGAGGCGAGGGAGCCGCCGUGCCGGGCAUGUUCCCGGAUUCCUGGGCAACCUCAGCUCCUGCUGGCGCGGGAAGAAACGCUUGGCUUUUCCCGCGCUCCCUCCAGCGGGCGCCGCAUCCGGGGGGGAAAAGCUCRGCCCGCCGGCGACGGCAGCACCGCAGAAGAGGGAGAAAAGAGGCUCUUUGAAGAGCCCCCCCGGAGGCAGGGCGAGGGGGGGCCRCGCCGAGACGCCCCCGGAGCCGCCACGUGCCGGGCCCGGGGCCAAGGCUGGCACGGCGGCGCGAGGCCGACCACGGGCGCUGGCAGGGCCCRGCCGCGCCGGGAACAGCGUCCCCAUUCUGGCAGCCCCCCGCGGGUGCAGGGGCGGUUGGCACCCGCUCGGCCCCGGGCCCGGCGCCAGGUCCCCUCCCCGCGGCGGCACGGUGCCGGGAUUGUGGGGGACGCCGGGACGGGGGGCGGGAGGGCAGGGCGCCGCCGUCCCCGGGCCCGCGGAGGGGUCGGGGGCCCCGCGUCAGCCCCGUCCCCGCGAUGGGGCGUCACGAUGGAGAUGA